This 906-nucleotide long non-coding RNA is filed under the name Cyanistes caeruleus (blue tit). RNAcentral's name for it is "lncRNA (ENSCCEG00000023439.1)". Lineage: Eukaryota; Metazoa; Chordata; Aves; Passeriformes; Paridae. The record is from RNAcentral.
UUGAAGUUACCUGGUGGCCAGGGAUUGCCUGAGACCCCCCAAAGGCUGUCUCCUAGAAGACCUCUCUCUAGGAAGGUCGUGGGAUCCUGGGUCAGACCAACUGACCUGCCUGGCCACCACAGUGCAGGAUUUGUGGCAAGGUUACAAUUUGAGAAUAAAUCUGCUAAUAUUUUUAGUCUGAAGUAACUUUAUCUGCAUUUGUAACUUCACAAGGAAAUACUAUCUUACUGUUAAACGUGAAGAUUUAAUAGUAGUGUUAAUAUUUCCCUGCGUUUUUUCUUUUUUUUCUUUUUUUGUUAAAUACAUGCAAUUUCAUUUUUAUCUGUUCUGAAUUUUCUGUUUGGAAGAAAGGAUUUCCACUUACUGCCAAAGAAUUGUCAUUGGGCUCACUACCUCCAAUGAGAUGAGAUGAGGCACGGAAUAAUUACACUUACUUUCUGCUGGUCAUUUGAAUGCUUAUGACUACGGACACCCUAUUGACCAAAAUGUGUGAAAAAUGCUGCAUGGGAGCCAGCAGCACAGGCUUACUCACACCAUCCUUACAACAUUGUCCAUCUGGAUUUGGUCAGAAGGAAAAACAAGGGAAAUGUUGUUCCUUGUCCUGCAAGAGACACUGCCUCUUCUGUCAGUAGUACUUACAUUUUUGUCUGCGUUUCUGCUGAUAAAAUUCAACUGAUGUAAAUUAUAGCAAACUUUCAUGCUUGCUAAAUUUGUGAACAAGAAGGGAAUAAGGACCACACUUAAGCAAACAAAAGUCAAUCAUCAAGGAAUAAGUGGGGGUUUUAGCCUGCUCAAAGAAAAGGUAAGUGGAAGGACCUUUAUAUAACUCUUCCUGCAUGCUCAAAGGUAAUAUGUGGAUGGUGUUAUUUAAAUAAAAGCUUAUUUUUUGUCUUUUUUUUGUCUUUU